CCUACGGGAGGCAGCAGUGGGGAAUAUUGGACAAUGGGCGAAAGCCUGAUCCAGCAAUUCCGCGUGUGUGGAGAAGGCCUUCGGGUUGUAAAGCACUUUAGUGGGGGAAGAAACAGCUUGGCCACACCAAGCCUUGACGGUACCCCAAGAAUAAGCACCGGCUAACUCUGUGCCAGCAGCCGCGGUAAUACAGAGGGUGCAAGCGUUAAUCGGAUUUACUGGGCGUAAAGGGUGCGUAGGUGGCUAUUUAAGUCGGAUGUGAAAGCCCGGGGCUCAACCUCGGAAUUGCAUUCGAUACUGAGUGGCUAGAGUUCGGUAGAGGGCGGCGGAAUUUCCGGUGUAGCGGUGAAAUGCGUAGAUAUCGGAAGGAACAUCAAUGGCGAAGGCAGCCGCCUGGGCCUGGACUGACACUGAGGCACGAAAGCGUGGGUAGCAAACAGGAUUAGAUACCCUGGUAGUCCACGCCGUAAACGAUGAGAACUUGACGUUGGUUCGUUUUACGAAUCGGUGUCGCAGCUAACGCGAUAAGUUCUCCGCCUGGGGAGUACGGCCGCAGGUUGAAACUUAAGGAAUUGACGG
RNAcentral lists this ribosomal RNA (579 nucleotides) under uncultured bacterium. RNAcentral describes it as "bacterial SSU rRNA". It matches the Rfam family "Bacterial small subunit ribosomal RNA", at positions 338 to 916 of the family's 1533-position model. The record is from RNAcentral.